RNAcentral lists this ribosomal RNA (1090 nucleotides) under bacterium endosymbiont of Nycterophylia n. sp. RNAcentral describes it as "bacterial SSU rRNA". It matches the Rfam family "Bacterial small subunit ribosomal RNA", at positions 388 to 1476 of the family's 1533-position model. The record is from RNAcentral.
GCAGCCAUGCCGCGUGUAUGAAGAAGGCCUUAGGGUUGUAAAGUACUUUCAGUUGGGAAGAAAGUAAUAAUGCUAAAAUCAUUGUUAUCUGACGUUACUAACAAAAGAAGCACCGGCUAACUCCGUGCCAGCAGCCGCGGUAAUACGGAGGGUGCUAGCGUUAAUCGGAAUUACUGGGCGUAAAGCGCACGCAGGUGGUAAAAUAAGUUAGAUGUGAAAUACCAAGGCUUAACCAAGGAAUUGCAUCUAAAACUGUAUUACUAGAGUUUUGUAGAGGAAAGUAGAAUUCCACGUGUAGCGGUGAAAUGCGUAGAUAUGUGGAGGAAUACCAGUGGCGAAGGCGACUUUCUGGACAAAUACUGACACUCAUGUGCGAAAGCGUGGGGAGCAAACAGGAUUAGAUACCCUGGUAGUCCAUGCCGUAAACGAUGUCGAUUUGGAGAUUGUUAUUUAAAUGGUUUCCGUAGCUAACGCGUUAAAUCGACCGCCUGGGGAGUACGACCGCAAGGUUAAAACUCAAAUGAAUUGACGGGGGCCCGCACAAGCGGUGGAGCAUGUGGUUUAAUUCGAUGCAACGCGAAGAACCUUACCUACUCUUGACAUCCAAUGGAUCUUACAGAAAUGUAGGAGUGCUUGAAAAAGUAACAUUGAGACAGGUGCUGCAUGGCUGUCGUCAGCUCGUGUUGUGAAAUGUUGGGUUAAGUCCCGCAACGAGCGCAACCCUUAUACUUUGUUACCAACGAUUAGGUCGGGGACUCAAAGAAAACUGCCAGUGAUAAACUGGAGGAAGGUAGGGAUGACGUCAAGUCAUCAUGGCCCUUACGAGUAGGGCUACACACGUGCUACAAUGGCGUAUACAAAGAGCAGCAACCUCGCGAGAGUGAGCGAAACUCAUCAAAGUACGUCUAAGUUCGGAUUGGAGUCUGCAACUCGACUCCAUGAAGUCGGAAUCGCUAGUAAUCGUAGAUCAGAAUGCUACGGUGAAUACGUUCUCGGGCCUUGUACACACCGCCCGUCACACCAUGGAAGUGAGUUGCAAAAGAAGCAAGUAGUUUAACCUAAAUGAAAAUUUAGGAGAGCACUUACCACU